CUAGCUAACUGAAAUCAUAGAGUUUAUUUAAACUCAUGAUGUCGUAAGGGAAAAUAAUGAUAAUACCUUACUAAUAGUGUCGUCCAAAUCUGGUGCCAGAAGACUCGGUAAGACCAGAGACGCAAACGUUAAUCAUCUUAAACAGGCGUAAAGGGUUUGUAGGCAGCUUUCAGAAGUACUAUAAUUAAGCAAAUAAAGUAGUCUAAUUGGAAGCUAGAAUCAAAUGGAGGUUAUAGUGUAUAACGCUUAGAGGAGGGCUGAUAUCCUUAGAUCCUAAGCAGAAUACUCAGGGCGAAGGCCACUUUCCACUAAUGAUUGACGCUGAGAAACGAAGGUUAGGCUAGGAAAUAGGAUUAGAUACCCCGGUACUCCUUUCUGUAAACGAUGAAUGGUAGUCAUUAGUUCUUUAAAUAACUAGAGAC
RNAcentral lists this ribosomal RNA (422 nucleotides) under Hapalopilus croceus. Its description in RNAcentral is "SSU rRNA". It matches the Rfam family "Bacterial small subunit ribosomal RNA", at positions 398 to 847 of the family's 1533-position model. The record is from RNAcentral. Lineage: Eukaryota; Fungi; Basidiomycota; Agaricomycetes; Polyporales; Phanerochaetaceae.